This 421-nucleotide ribosomal RNA is filed under the name uncultured bacterium. RNAcentral describes it as "partial 16S ribosomal RNA". It matches the Rfam family "Bacterial small subunit ribosomal RNA", at positions 359 to 773 of the family's 1533-position model. The record is from RNAcentral.
AAGUUUGGACAAUGGUUGCAACCCUGAUCCGGCCAUCCCGCGUGUGCGAUUAAGGCUUUAGGGUUGUAAAGCACUUUUGGCAGGGAAGAAAAGGCACUGGCUAAUACCUGGAGCUGCUGACGGUACCUGCAGAAUAAGCACCUGCUAACUACGUGCCAUCAGCCGCGGAAACACGUAGGGUGCAAGCGUUAAUCGGAAGUACUGGGCGUCAAGCGUUCGCAGGCGGUUCGGCAAGAAGGAUGUGAAAUCCCAGGGCUUAACCUUGGAACUGCAUUCUUAACUGCCGGGCUAGAGUAUGUCAGAGGGGGGUAGAAUUCCGCGUGUAGCAGUGAAAUGCGUAGAGAUGCGGAGGAAUACCGAUGGCGAAGGCAGCCCCCUGGGAUAAUACUGACGCUCAUGCACGAAAGCGUGGGGAGCAAAC